This 440-nucleotide ribosomal RNA is filed under the name uncultured bacterium. RNAcentral describes it as "partial 16S ribosomal RNA". It matches the Rfam family "Bacterial small subunit ribosomal RNA", at positions 342 to 795 of the family's 1533-position model. The record is from RNAcentral.
CGGGAGGCUGCACCAGUGAGGAAUAUUGCACAAUGGGGGGAACCCUGAUGCAGCAACGCCGCGUGGAGGAUGACGCAUUUCGGUGUGUAAACUCCUUUUAUAUGUCAAGAAAAUGACGGUAGCAUAUGAAUAAGCACCGGCUAACUCCGUGCCAGCAGCCGCGGUAAUACGGAGGGGUGCAAGCGUUACUCGGAAUCACUGGGCGUAAAGGGCGCGUAGGCGGGUUGGAAAGUCAGGUGUGAAAUCCUACAGCUUAACUGUAGAACUGCACUUGAAACUUCUAAUCUAGAGUAUGGGAGGGGGAGAUGGAAUUAGUGGUGUAGGGGUAAAAUCCGUAGAUAUCACUAGGAAUACCUAAAGCGAAGGCGAUCUCCUGGAACAUUACUGACGCUAAGGCGUGAAAGCGUGGGGAGCAAACAGGAUUAGAUACCCUUGUAGUC